AUGAAGCUCAUCGGAUGGAACUGCUGGGGGCUCAGGAACGGCCCGGCAGUUCAUAGCCUCCUCGAGCUAGGGAGGAUGGAGGAUCUCGACGUGCUAUUCUUGGCGGAGACAAAGCUGACAGAGAAGGAGCUGGAGAGGUUUCGGUGGAUGCUGGGUCUGACGCAUAUGAUUGCAUGGAACCCGAUGGGAAGGAGUAGGGGUGUGGUGCUGUUUUGGAGGAGCGGGUUGGAUGUAGCCCUGAGAUCGUUUGGUAGA
RNAcentral lists this ribosomal RNA (255 nucleotides) under Triticum aestivum (bread wheat). RNAcentral's name for it is "partial small subunit ribosomal RNA". Lineage: Eukaryota; Viridiplantae; Streptophyta; Magnoliopsida; Poales; Poaceae. The record is from RNAcentral.